UACGUAGGGUGCGAGCGUUGUCCGGAAUUAUUGGGCGUAAAGAGCUUGUAGGCGGUUUGUCGCGUCUGCUGUGAAAAUCCGGGGCUCAACCCCGGACUUGCAGUGGGUACGGGCAGACUAGAGUGUGGUAGGGGAGACUGGAAUUCCUGGUGUAGCGGUGGAAAUGCGCAGAUAUCAGGAGGAACACCGGUGGCGAAGGCGGCGAUCUGGGUCGAUACUGACGCUGGAGGCACG
This 234-nucleotide ribosomal RNA is filed under the name uncultured bacterium. Its description in RNAcentral is "partial 16S ribosomal RNA". It matches the Rfam family "Bacterial small subunit ribosomal RNA", at positions 524 to 757 of the family's 1533-position model. The record is from RNAcentral.